Molecule: ribosomal RNA, 270 nt
Filed under: uncultured archaeon
Lineage: Archaea
Description: partial 16S ribosomal RNA
Rfam family: Archaeal small subunit ribosomal RNA
Source: RNAcentral
CAGCGGCCCUAGUGGUGAUCGUUAUUAUUGGGCCUAAAGCGUCCGUAGCCGGUUCGGUAAAUCUCUGGGUAAAUCGUUGGGCUUAACUCAGCGAAUUCUGGGAAGACUGCCGAACUUGGGACCGGGAGAGGUCGGAGGUACUCCAGGGGUAGGGGUGAAAUCCUGUAAUCCUUGGGGGACCACCGGUGGCGAAAGCGUCCGACCAGAACGGGUCCGACGGUAAGGGACGAAGCCCUGGGUCGCGAACCGGAUUAGAUACCCGAGUAGUCC